RNAcentral lists this long non-coding RNA (1153 nucleotides) under Marmota monax (woodchuck). The record is from RNAcentral. Lineage: Eukaryota; Metazoa; Chordata; Mammalia; Rodentia; Sciuridae.
CCUGAUUUCAGACUUUGGGCCUUCAGAACUAUGAGAUGAUAGAUUUAUUUUGCUGCAAGUCAUUUAAUUUGGGGUAAUUUGUUAAGACAGCCCUAGAAAACUAAUUCACUAAGUGUCCCAUAGAGUAGUCAUUUAUUCCAGCGAUUUCCAGUAUGUCUUACUGUGUCACCACUGCACAAAAGGACUGCCAAAUAGGGAGAAAUAGGCAAAUUUUUCAUUAAAGUUAUUUAUUUGCUUCGUCAAAUAAUUAUGGAUCCCAAAUUCUAGCUGCUCUGAAACAGGCUAAACAUACUUGCAUUUCAAAAUCUUGUCUGCUUUAUGCCAUCUGACCUUCAUCUCUUUCAUAAUUCAGAUAGUUCUUUAAAUUGACAGUUUAAGAUUAGUUUAAGAUUAUCUAAUUGCUUUAUGUUUUUUUUUAUAGAUGAGAAAAUGGGCUUUACUUUCACGCCGUUACUGAGUUAGUUAAGAUAAGUUAAACUGUUAAUUUAGGCUGUUAUCAUGUACACAAAAAUAUAGGAGCGUGAACAAAUAGUUUAUUUCUGUUCUCUGACAGCUGGUACAUAAACAGUCCAGGGCUGCCAUGGCAGCUCCCAGAUAGCAGGCACCAGGCCUAUCCCUCUUGCUGCUUUGCUCCCCUAACACUUGUUGUGCUUCUCAGCAUGAUUGAGGAUGACUCACUACUUCAUUGAUAUGCCAUCAGAAGAGAGGGUGAAAAUGGAGGUUAUUUCUAACUGAGAGUUUUACCUAUAGAUUUCAUGCUUACUUCCCACAUCCCACUCACAAUGUUCAUGUCCCAUUGAUCAAAAGCAUAGUUACAGCCAUUUGCAAAAAAGGGCUAAGAAUUAUUGUCUUUAUUUUCUGUGGCCAGCCACACUAAUAUCUAGGGAUUCCAUCCCUCAAGGAUAAUGGGGAAAGUGGAUCUGAGUACAACAUAGUAAUACUCGACACUCAGUCUAGUAUAUAAGAGAGGGACACAAUUACUUAAAUUAGUACUCACACUUACAGAUGAGAAAAUAAGACUUUAAAAAAAUUCAGUGUAUUCCUCAAGGUCAUCCAGCUAAAUUAUUGGCAAAGUCUUGCAAAUAAUUCUGUUACAGUGCUUUCAUAAUAACAACCUCAUAAUUCUUAAAAUUUAUGUAGUGUUUACUGAUUU